AGCUCCAAGUCGAAAGGAAGCGACGCAUGAGUUGUUUGGUGCGGUGGGUAGAUACCUCGAGUUUCUCCUCGCCCACCGUAGGCCCCGACCCCUAAAAAGGAAACUUUUGGGACGUCAGAGUGAGAGGAGAAAAGUGUCUUUUUAGUUUAGUUUUGUCAAACCUGAGGAUUCGUUUUUCAGUUUAGCCGGAGCUGUGCCGCAAACGUAGCUGCCGACAUCCCCACGACGCACCCAAGUGGUGGCCCGGAAGCUGGGGAUAGAAAAGUGGCCUCCCCGAAUGCCAGGCACACAGGCCUUACUACCAGAAGCUUGAGCUGGGAGCCUCGGCCGUCGCAUCUCUAAGAAUUUUAAACGGAAGAACGCAGAAGAAUUCUCUUUAUGUUACCUUUAUUUAGCAACAAAUCAACUUGACUCAACUGAUACUUACUGAGUGCCUUUAAAGGUAAGUGAAUAAAAGUCUACCCCUUGUAAAUCCACUUCAAGGAAUUUGUAAUCAAAUAUUGAUGUUUGAGGAUAAUGGGCCUUCCUGUUACUUCUUAGUACUAACCUAGCUUACACUCUACUUUCCUCCCUAAAGUUUACGCAAACUUUACAAACCUAUUAAAAUCCCAUUCCUUCUGUGAAAGAACUGCUCUCUCCUUCCUUGAAUUCCUAUAGCAUAUUAAUUAAUCACAUACUUAUUUGUAAUAUCUUCUCUUGAACUAUUUAACUUCCUGCUCUUCCUACCUAGAUUGUUUCUC
RNAcentral lists this long non-coding RNA (740 nucleotides) under Homo sapiens (human). RNAcentral's name for it is "PREDICTED lncRNA (TCONS_00211084)". The record is from RNAcentral. Lineage: Eukaryota; Metazoa; Chordata; Mammalia; Primates; Hominidae.